RNAcentral lists this long non-coding RNA (2128 nucleotides) under Macaca mulatta (Rhesus monkey). RNAcentral describes it as "lncRNA (ENSMMUG00000061065.1)". The record is from RNAcentral. Lineage: Eukaryota; Metazoa; Chordata; Mammalia; Primates; Cercopithecidae.
GGACCCACCAUUUUCCUGGGAAGGACAUCAUAGGAACAGAGCUCAGCAUUUCAGACCUGGGGGUUAGAAGCAGAGGUGGGGGUGGGGCGCUGUGAAAUUAGGAAACUUAGAUGGGUCUUGCAGAAAUAGGUGUGGCUCCACAGGUCAGGGAAUUACAGGUCAAUUGGAUAGGCACCUGAGAGUGUUGUGGGGCUGGAAAGCUGGGGUGAGUGAGGCUGCCUGGGUAUUCCGCUUAGGUCUAGGCAUCCUGGCUGAAUACCUUAGAUUUCAGUUCACCACCAGAGAAGCCCGGAAACUCCAGUAAACACAUAUCUUUGGUCCCUUCUACCUGCCUCUAGAUUGGCUGGUUGAGGCUCAGCUUCUCUCUAACUAGACUUCUGGCUUAUAGGGUGCAGCCGCUUGGGAGCGCAAAGAAGGAGAAGGUAAGAAAAAGGAGAGAAAUGCAGAGAGAGGAGAGGAUGAGAUGACGGUGUGGAAAAUAUCGGAGGGUGCGUACUGCCCUCAAGUGCACUGGGGGCUUUUGUCCAGGAUCAGAGUAAAGACAAAGACGAGGCUGCUCAUGGAAGCUGCAGAAACAGCGCCUGUGGGAAUAAGGGGUGUGAGAUACGAGACCAUGGGAGUGGGCAAUGUAAAGACCUGCAUUUAUUUAUUUAUUUUUUUAUUUUGAGACAGGGUCUUACUCUGUCGCCCAGACUGGAGCGCAGUGGCACGAUCUCGGCUCACCGCAACCUCCGCCUACCAGCUACUCAGGAGGCUGAGGCAGGAGAAUGGCUUGAACCCGGAAGGCAGAGGUUGCAGUGAACCGAACGUGCCACUGCACUCCAGCCUGGGCAACAGAGCGAGACUCUGUGUCAAAAAAAUAAUUUUUUUUUUUUUUAAGAGACUGGGUCUCACUGUCACCCAGGCUGGAGUACAAUGAUGCGAUCUUGGCUCACUAUAACUUUGACCUCCUAGGCUCAAGCGUCCUCCCACAUCAGCCUUCUGAGUAGGACUACAGGUGCACACAAGCAUGUCCAGCUAAUUAAAAUUUUUUUUUCGUAGAGAUGGGGUCUCACUGUGUUGCCCAGCCUGGUCUUGAACUCCUGGCCUUCAGAAGUCCUCCUGCAUCAACCUCCCAUAUUGCUGGGAUUACAGGUGUGAGCCACCAUGCCUGGCUUCUUCUUUUGAUCCCUCCUCCCUAUUCUCAUUCCUCUCCCUGUGUCAGUAUAUGUUUGGAUAUGUAUGUAUCUUUGAAAAUAUAUGUAAUUAUGUGCCUAUAUGUUUUAAUAUAUAUAAAUGGUAUACUUUUAUGGUAAGCCAACUUCUGUAAUGAAUUGCUCCCAUAUUUCAGUGAUUUAACACCACAGAUUUAUUUUUCACUUAUUCUACAUGGCACGGGUGUUUCUGGUUGGACAGCUCUCCUCCACUGUCCACGCCAGCUCCCAGGCUUCUUUUGUUUUCAGAUGGUGAUAGCCUCAUCCCAGCAUCAUAAAGUUUCCUGUCAACUUUUCACCAAGUUGUUUUACUAUCCAUUGAUUAUUGUUUUAUGAAUUGCUUAUUUCACUGGGGAUUACAGAAUGGUGAUUUUCUAAGGCUAUUAAUUUUUCCUCAUUUAUUAGUUCUAAUUCUGUACCAAAAACCUUUUUUCACAUCCUCUAGGACCAUUUGAUUACUCUGAAAUAAAGUUCAUACCAAAAUGGCAAGAUAAAUGCUUAAAUCUUUUCCCUUAUCAUUUUCAAAGUAGUUAUGUCCUAACAAUUUCCAAUGGUGUUCAAUGAUUUUUUUUGUUUCACUCUCUCUUUUUAAAUGAUCUCAAACAACCUGUAGUUCUUAUACAUUUAAUGUUGUUUAAUCAUUUGCCAUUAUUUUUUGCUUUACAUUAUAUAAAGUAUCAAGCAUAUACAAAAGUAGAGAAAAUCGUGUAAUGAUUUCCCAGGGACCUAUCACUCAGCUUCAAUAAUUAUCAAUUUACGGCCAAUCUUGGUCGAUUUAUUCCCUCAACUACUUGCCCCCUAACCAAGAUUCUUUUGAAGCAAAACCGAUAUCAUACCAAUUUACUCUGUAAAUGUUUUAGCAUGUAUCUCUAAAAGACAAGGAUUUUUAUUACCAUUAUUGCACCUAAAAAGUUAAUAAAUUGUCAGUAUAAUAA